This 205-nucleotide long non-coding RNA is filed under the name Gallus gallus (chicken). The record is from RNAcentral. Lineage: Eukaryota; Metazoa; Chordata; Aves; Galliformes; Phasianidae.
AAGACACUCUCAACGAUUCAAGGCAGUUAAGAAGUUUUUCUUCUGCAAUUCCAGAUCGUAACUCAUGAAUAUACUCUUGAGAUGACAGCGUGCAUUCAUGUUUGCUAUUUUUGAGUCCACCAGAUUUAGCAGUGGCAGAAAUGUACUGGACAACCAUCUCACGUUUUGUGGAUAAAUCCUUCUCUCUUAGAGGAGCUUUCCGUUC